This is a long non-coding RNA of Panicum hallii, 1141 nucleotides long. RefSeq lists it as uncharacterized. The transcript has 4 exons. NCBI's taxonomy places the organism in Eukaryota, Viridiplantae, Streptophyta, Magnoliopsida, Poales, Poaceae. The record is from RefSeq and is a predicted model, not a curated record.
AUAUUCAAGGAAGAAGUCUUUGAUUUGCUCGAUUCAAAUCAUGCUGCUGUAAGACUUAAUUCAGACUCUGUACCCAAAUCUUCAACACCUGCUGCCAGAGUGCCGAUUCAAAUUUGAGAGAUUGCAGCAGGAGGCAUAACCCUUGCUGGCGUCACAGAGGCUAAGGUGAAGUCUAAAGAAAAAAAUGGCAUCAUAUUUGAUACGUGGUUCCUUGUCACGUGCAACAGCAAGCACAAAUAUGAAUAGGCAGACAAGUAUGCACUGAAAAAUGUUGGAAAUUAUUGGUGACCAAGUUAUACAGGAUACUCAAGCCAUAUGAUUUCAUUUCUGAGUUCUGUCAGAUAAGUCAUCCUUCUCUCCAUUAUUAUUGCCCAUAUGAUUUCACAUUGUUUGCUAACAAGUUGGGAAGCAACUAAAAUGCAAAGGGUUUUUUUGCAGUCUAGGCUAAGAAUUGUCAAGCUAUGAUUGGUAUUCUUAUUUAAAUUACGUGGUUGUUUAAUAUGGUUAGACGUGAAGGACCUGCAAGAGAGGUGGAAGUGGAACGCAUAAGACAAGGACUUGAUUUGUUUGAUAAUUACUUAUGGAUAUCUGAUCUACAACACUUGGUAAAUCCAUCCGUUACGAUUCAGUUGGGCCAAGGUGUAAUGAACCAGUUUGGAACAGGCGUGCAUGAACCAUCAAACCAGGAGCAAAGCAUAGCACAUAACUAUCUUACAAAAGCCCAUGCUACCUGCUGCCGGUGUGUAUGCAAUGCAAACGCAAUGGGGACGGAAUGGAAUAAUAGAAUGGGAUGCUAUGCCUAUGCGCCGGCGCCAGCGCUGCACCUAUGCGGAGGGAAUCCUUGACAAUUUUUUCUCUCUCACCACAGCCCGCAAAAGAGAAGAUUAGGUUGGCUGCAUGUUCAACAAUAAAAGGGUGUUUUGUCGAAAGAGGAGGAGACAUGCAGGCAGCUUUUUCCCUGCUGAGUUCACACAUGUCCAAAGGAGAAAGCGAAGUUUGUUCUAUUACGUUCACACAUGUCUAAUUAUUUGUUGUGUACUUUGAAAUACGUACAUUGAACAUGAAUAUUGUUCACCUCAAGGUGUAUAUCUGUUGACAUAUGUCAUUUACAAAUAUUUAAUAUGAUGAAAAUUGAUACUCA